Molecule: ribosomal RNA, 942 nt
Filed under: Phanerina mellea
Lineage: Eukaryota; Fungi; Basidiomycota; Agaricomycetes; Polyporales; Phanerochaetaceae
Description: partial large subunit ribosomal RNA
Rfam family: Eukaryotic large subunit ribosomal RNA
Source: RNAcentral
UAGCAUAUCAAUAAGCGGAGGAAAAGAAACUAACAAGGAUUCCCCUAGUAACUGCGAGUGAAGCGGGAAAAGCUCAAAUUUAAAAUCUGGUAGUCUUUGGCUGCCCGAGUUGUAAUCUGGAGAAGCGUCUUCCGCGCUGGACCGUGUACAAGUCUCCUGGAACGGAGCGUCAUAGAGGGUGAGAAUCCCGUCUUUGACACGGACUACCAGUGCUCUGUGAUGCGCUCUCAAAGAGUCGAGUUGUUUGGGAAUGCAGCUCAAAAUGGGUGGUAAACUCCAUCUAAAGCUAAAUAUUGGCGAGAGACCGAUAGCGAACAAGUACCGUGAGGGAAAGAUGAAAAGCACUUUGGAAAGAGAGUUAAACAGUACGUGAAAUUGCUGAAAGGGAAACGCUUGAAGUCAGUCGCGUUUGCUAGAACUCAGCCUUGCCUCGGCUUGGUGCAUUUUCUAGUAAACGGGCCAGCAUCACUUUUGGCUGCGGGAAAAAGAUCAGAGGAAUGUGGCACCUUCGGGUGUGUUAUAGCCUCUGGUUGUAUACCGUGGCUGGGAGUGAGGAACUCAGCACGCCUUUAUGGCGGGGCUUCGGCCACCUUCGUGCUUAGGAUGCUGGCGUAAUGGCUUUAAACGACCCGUCUUGAAACACGGACCAAGGAGUCUAACAUGCCUGCGAGUGUUUGGGUGGAAAACCCGAGCGCGUAAUGAAAGUGAAAGUUGGGACCUCUGUCGUGGAGGGCACCGACGCCCGGACCAGACCUUCUGUGACGGAUCCGCGGUAGAGCAUGUAUGUUGGGACCCGAAAGAUGGUGAACUAUGCCUGAAUAGGGUGAAGCCAGAGGAAACUCUGGUGGAGGCUCGUAGCGAUUCUGACGUGCAAAUCGAUCGUCAAAUUUGGGUAUAGGGGCGAAAGACUAAUCGAACCAUCUAGUAGCUGGUUCCUGCCGA